RNAcentral lists this ribosomal RNA (466 nucleotides) under uncultured bacterium. RNAcentral describes it as "partial 16S ribosomal RNA". It matches the Rfam family "Bacterial small subunit ribosomal RNA", at positions 28 to 507 of the family's 1533-position model. The record is from RNAcentral.
GACGAACGCUGGCGGCGUGCUUAACACAUGCAAGUCGAACGGAAAGGCCCUGCUUGCAGGGUACUCGAGUGGCGAACGGGUGAGUAACACGUGGGUGAUCUGCCCUGCACUUCGGGAUAAGCCUGGGAAACUGGAUCAAAUACCGGAUAGGAGCCAUUUUUAGUGUGAUGGUUGGAAAGUUUUUUUCGGUGUAGGAUGAGCUCGCGGCCUAUCAGCUUGUUGGUGGGGUAAUGGCCCACCAAGGCGGCGACGGGUAGCCGGCCUGAGAGGGUGGACGGCCACAUUGGGACUGAGAUACGGCCCAGACUCCUACGGGAGGCAGCAGUGGGGAAUAUUGCACAAUGGGCGCAAGCCUGAUGCAGCGACGCCGCGUGGGGGAUGGCGGCCUUCGGGUUGUAAACUCCUUUCGCUAGGGACGAAGCUUUUUGUGACGGUACCUAGAUAAGAAGCACCGGCUAACUACGUG